RNAcentral lists this small RNA (239 nucleotides) under Leminorella grimontii. RNAcentral's name for it is "Soft rot Enterobacteriaceae Rev 39 5'UTR". Lineage: Bacteria; Pseudomonadati; Pseudomonadota; Gammaproteobacteria; Enterobacterales; Budviciaceae. The record is from RNAcentral.
UUGUAACUCGAUUUAAAACUGUGAUAACUCUGUAUGCAUUCCUUCGAUAGAUGAAGAGCCGUAUUGAAAAAAUGAAGUCCAUAAGCCAAGUGAUUAGCCUCAUUAUUAUUAGCGUGGUGGUGAUUAUUCUCCCACCGUGCGGGGCAUCGCUUGGACGAAGAAAGACCUGAUAAGAGGUCAGAAAUUCAAGAACCCCCGCACUGAAAAAGGCGGGGGUUUUUUUAUGCCCAAUAAAAACA